Molecule: unclassified non-coding RNA, 24 nt
Filed under: Mus musculus (house mouse)
Lineage: Eukaryota; Metazoa; Chordata; Mammalia; Rodentia; Muridae
Description: oocyte_clustered_small_RNA2074
Source: RNAcentral
UGUCGGCUGGGAUUAUAUGGAAUC